GAUGAACGCUGGCGGCGUGCCUAAUACAUGCAAGUCGAGCGAACGGACGAGAAGCUUGCUUCUCUGAUGUUAGCGGCGGACGGGUGAGUAACACGUGGAUAACCUACCUAUAAGACUGGGAUAACUUCGGGAAACCGGAGCUAAUACCGGAUAAUCUUUUGAACCGCAUGGUUCAAAAGUGAAAGACGGUCUUGCUGUCACUUAUAGAUGGAUCCGCGCUGCAUUAGCUAGUUGGUAAGGUAACGGCUUACCAAGGCAACGAUGCAUAGCCGACCUGAGAGGGUGAUCGGCCACACUGGAACUGAGACACGGUCCAGACUCCUAAGGGAGGCAGCAGUAGGGAAUCUUCCGCAAUGGGCGAAAGCCUGACGGAGCAACGCCGCGUGAGUGAUGAAGGUCUUCGGAUCGUAAAACUCUGUUAUUAGGGAAGAACAUAUGUGUAAGUAACUGUGCACAUCUUGACGGUACCUAAUCAGAAAGCCACGGCUAACUACGUG
RNAcentral lists this ribosomal RNA (497 nucleotides) under uncultured bacterium. RNAcentral's name for it is "partial 16S ribosomal RNA". It matches the Rfam family "Bacterial small subunit ribosomal RNA", at positions 28 to 507 of the family's 1533-position model. The record is from RNAcentral.